UUGACAUAUACCGGAAGACGGUGAGAGAUCACGUUGUCCCUUGUGGACUGGUAUACAGGUGCUGCAUGGCUGUCGUCAGCUCGUGCUGUGAAGUGUUGGGUUAAGUCCCGCAACGAGCGCAACCCUGCUUCUAGUUACCAGCACGUAAUGGUGGGACUCUAGAGAGACUGCCGGUGACAAACCGGAGGAAGGUGGGGAUGACGUCAAGUCAUCAUGGCCCUUAUGUCCUGGGCUACACACGUGCUACAAUGGCCGGUACAGAGCGCAGCGAUACCGCGAGGUGGAGCAAAUCGCAGAAAGCCGGUCUCAGUACGGAUUGGAGUCUGAAACCCGACUUCAUGAAGGUGGAAUCGCUAGUAAUCGCGCAUCAGCAUGGCGCGGUGAAUACGUUCCCGGGCCUU
This 401-nucleotide ribosomal RNA is filed under the name uncultured Spirochaeta sp. Its description in RNAcentral is "bacterial SSU rRNA". It matches the Rfam family "Bacterial small subunit ribosomal RNA", at positions 981 to 1382 of the family's 1533-position model. The record is from RNAcentral. Lineage: Bacteria; Pseudomonadati; Spirochaetota; Spirochaetia; Spirochaetales; Spirochaetaceae.